RNAcentral lists this ribosomal RNA (371 nucleotides) under uncultured organism. RNAcentral describes it as "bacterial SSU rRNA". It matches the Rfam family "Bacterial small subunit ribosomal RNA", at positions 526 to 896 of the family's 1533-position model. The record is from RNAcentral.
CGAAGGGGGCUAGCGUUGCUCGGAAUGACUGGGCGUAAAGGGCGCGUAGGCGGCACGGACAGUCAGGCGUGAAAUUCCUGGGCUUAACCUGGGGGCUGCGUUUGAUACGUCCGAGCUAGAGGAUGGAAGAGGCUCGUGGAAUUCCCAGUGUAGAGGUGAAAUUCGUAGAUAUUGGGAAGAACACCGGUGGCGAAGGCGGCGAGCUGGUCCAUUACUGACGCUGAGGCGCGAAAGCGUGGGGAGCAAACAGGAUUAGAUACCCUGGUAGUCCACGCUGUAAACGAUGUGCGCUGGAUGUUGGGGAGCUUAGCUCUUCAGUGUCGUAGCUAACGCGAUAAGCGCACCGCCUGGGGAGUACGGCCGCAAGGUUG